AGGACGAACGCUGGCGGCGUGCUUAACACAUGCAAGUCGAGCGGAAAGGCCCUUCGGGGUACUCGAGCGGCGAACGGGUGAGUAACACGUGGGUAACCUGCCCCUUGCCCUGGGAUAACUCCGGGAAACCGGGGCUAAUACCGGAUAUGACACUCGCAGGCAUCUGCUGGGUGUGGAAAGUUUUUCGGCGAGGGAUGGGCCCGCGGCCUAUCAGCUUGUUGGUGGGGUAAUGGCCCACCAAGGCGACGACGGGUAG
This 256-nucleotide ribosomal RNA is filed under the name uncultured bacterium. RNAcentral describes it as "partial small subunit ribosomal RNA". It matches the Rfam family "Bacterial small subunit ribosomal RNA", at positions 26 to 286 of the family's 1533-position model. The record is from RNAcentral.